RNAcentral lists this ribosomal RNA (550 nucleotides) under uncultured bacterium. Its description in RNAcentral is "bacterial SSU rRNA". It matches the Rfam family "Bacterial small subunit ribosomal RNA", at positions 355 to 896 of the family's 1533-position model. The record is from RNAcentral.
UAGGGAAUCUUCGGCAAUGGGGGGAACCCUGACCGAGCAACGCCGCGUGAGUGAAGAAGGUUUUCGGAUCGUAAAGCUCUGUUGUUAAGGAAGAACGAGUGUGAGAAUGGAAAGUUCAUACUGUGACGGUACUUAACCAGAAAGGGACGGCUAACUACGUGCCAGCAGCCGCGGUAAUACGUAGGUCCCGAGCGUUGUCCGGAUUUAUUGGGCGUAAAGCGAGCGCAGGCGGUUAGAUAAGUCUGAAGUUAAAGGCAGUGGCUCAACCAUUGUAGGCUUUGGAAACUGUUUAACUUGAGUGCAGAAGGGGAGAGUGGAAUUCCAUGUGUAGCGGUGAAAUGCGUAGAUAUAUGGAGGAACACCGGUGGCGAAAGCGGCUCUCUGGUCUGUAACUGACGCUGAGGCUCGAAAGCGUGGGGAGCGAACAGGAUUAGAUACUCUGGUAGUCCACGCCGUAAACGAUGAGUGCUAGGUGUUAGGUCCUUUCCGGGACUUAGUGCCGCAGCUAACGCAUUAAGCACUCCGCCUGGGGAGUACGACCGCAAGGUUG